RNAcentral lists this ribosomal RNA (565 nucleotides) under uncultured Hyphomicrobiaceae bacterium. Its description in RNAcentral is "bacterial SSU rRNA". It matches the Rfam family "Bacterial small subunit ribosomal RNA", at positions 8 to 622 of the family's 1533-position model. The record is from RNAcentral. Lineage: Bacteria; Pseudomonadati; Pseudomonadota; Alphaproteobacteria; Hyphomicrobiales; Hyphomicrobiaceae.
AGAGUUUGAUCUGGCUCAGAACGAACGCUGGCGGCAGGCCUAACACAUGCAAGUCGAACGCCCCGCAGGGGGAGUGGCAGACGGGUGAGUAACGCGUGGGAACCUACCUAGAGGUGCGGAAUAGCCCAGGGAAACUUGGAGUAAUACCGCAUAAGCCCGCAAGGGGAAAGAUUUAUCGCCUUUAGAUGGGCCCGCGUCGGAUUAGCUAGUUGGUGAGGUAAUGGCUCACCAAGGCGACGAUCCGUAGCUGGUUUGAGAGAAUGACCAGCCACACUGGGACUGAGACACGGCCCAGACUCCUACGGGAGGCAGCAGUGGGGAAUCUUGGACAAUGGGCGCAAGCCUGAUCCAGCCAUGCCGCGUGAGUGACGAAGGCCUUAGGGUUGUAAAGCUCUUUUGGCGGGGACGAUAAUGACGGUACCCGCAGAAUAAGUCCCGGCUAACUUCGUGCCAGCAGCCGCGGUAAUACGAAGGGGACUAGCGUUGUUCGGAAUUACUGGGCGUAAAGCGCACGUAGGCGGAUUUGUUAGUCAGGGGUGAAAUCCCGGGGCUCAACCUCGGAACU